Molecule: ribosomal RNA, 253 nt
Filed under: uncultured prokaryote
Description: partial 16S ribosomal RNA
Rfam family: Bacterial small subunit ribosomal RNA
Source: RNAcentral
UACGUAGGGGGCAAGCGUUGUCCGGAUUUAUUGGGCGUAAAGAGCGUGUAGGCGGCCAUACAGGUCCGUUGUGAAAACUGGAGGCUCAACCUCCAGACGUCGAUGGAAACCGUAUGGCUAGAGUCCGGAAGAGGAGAGUGGAAUUCCUGGUGUAGCGGUGAAAUGCGCAGAUAUCAGGAAGAACACCCGUGGCGAAGGCGGCUCUCUGGGACGGUACUGACGCUGAGACGCGAAAGCAUGGGGAGCGAACAGG